UUUACAUCUAUUCAAUCUGACAACAUUGACAGUGCGCCAUGUUUUCCGUUGUUUGCAGUUUGUCGUUAUGUCGCUCUUACAAUUUUUCUGAUUUUUUGGUAGUAAAAGUGAUUAUUCAGAACACUAUUUGAGUGUAAUCUGUUCCUUAAGGCCUAUUCAAUCGAAAAAUAUAUUUAUAUUUUAAGAAGAGUUGGAUCACUCCCUAUAUUCAUGAUGUGUGGCCAUUAUUCUGGUUUACGAGAUUGAUCUUCAAACAUCUGAUUAAAAAUUUUAUACAGCAAAUCGAUGGAUGUAUACAGUUCCAGGGCAGUACAUUUAAUGAAUUUUACCAACAUGUCAUCAACACUUAUAAGUAUAUCUAAAAUUUUAUUUCUUUUGGGUAAAUAUAUUUUUACUGGUUUUUAAUGUUCGUCGGUUGAUUUCAUCAUUUUCAAAUUCAAUGAAGAAGGAAAAAAAUUCCAAUGAGUCUCUGAGUUACAUUUUUAUGGUUCCUUAUAAUCACAGAAAAAUUCAGACCAUCUAUUUUUAGUUUGAGUCAAUUUUGGCUGUUGGCAACUUUUGGCCACUAUUUUCUUUUUGGUAUAAUACCAUUUACUUAGAACUUUACUUGAUUGCGUACAUCAAGAUGUUAUAUUUUCAUUUGAUCGUUUUUUAUUUUGUGAUUUUUUUUGUUUACUUCUAUUUCUCUAAAUACUUGGCUUCCCAUAUCUUCUGGAUUAUGGAAAUAAUAUCA
Molecule: long non-coding RNA, 733 nt
Organism: Sitophilus oryzae (rice weevil)
Lineage: Eukaryota; Metazoa; Arthropoda; Insecta; Coleoptera; Curculionidae
Exons: 3
Source: RefSeq, a predicted model, not a curated record